AUCACUUCUCAGCCUUUUGGCUAAGGUCAAGUGUAGUAUCUGUUCUCAAUUUAAUAUCUGAUAUGUCCUGUAAUCCCAGCUACUCGGGAGGUCGAGGCAGGAGAAUCACUUGAACCCAGGAGCUGUAGGUUGCGGUAAGCCGAGAUUGCGCUGUUGCACUUCAGCCCGCCACCAUGAUGUGGAGUGCUCUUAUAUAAAAAGUGGCUGACCCC
RNAcentral lists this small nuclear RNA (212 nucleotides) under Callithrix jacchus (white-tufted-ear marmoset). RNAcentral's name for it is "U2 spliceosomal RNA (ENSCJAG00000041089.3)". The stretch from base 1 to 119 matches the Rfam family "U2 spliceosomal RNA". Rfam says of the family: U2 is a small nuclear RNA (snRNA) component of the spliceosome (involved in pre-mRNA splicing). Complementary binding between U2 snRNA (in an area lying towards the 5' end but 3' to hairpin I) and the branchpoint sequence (BPS) of the intron results the bulging out of an unpaired adenosine, on the BPS, which initiates a nucleophilic attack at the intronic 5' splice site, thus starting the first of two transesterification reactions that mediate splicing. Lineage: Eukaryota; Metazoa; Chordata; Mammalia; Primates; Cebidae. The record is from RNAcentral.